GGUUAAGUGACUAAGCGUACAUGGUGGAUGCCUUGGCAGUCAGAGGCGAUGAAGGACGUACUAACCUGCGAUAAGCUGUGAGAAGUCGGUAAGAGACGCUAUUACUCACAGAUUUCCGAAUGGGGAAACCCACCCAAGAUAACUUGGGUAUCGUUACAUGAAUACAUAGUGUAACGAGGCGAACCGGGAGAACUGAAACAUCUAAGUACCCCGAGGAAAAGAAAUCAACCGAGAUUCCCUCAGUAGCGGCGAGCGAACGGGGAUUAGCCCUUAAGUUUCUUGGAAGUUAGUGGAAUGGUCCUGGAAAGGCCAGCGAUACAGGGUGAUAGCCCCGUACAUGAAAACGACCUUGAAGUGAAAUCGAGUAGGGCGGGACACGUGACAUCCUGUCUGAAUAUGGGGGGACCAUCCUCCAAGGCUAAAUACUCCUGACUGACCGAUAGUGAACCAGUACCGUGAGGGAAAGGCGAAAAGAACCCCUGUGAGGGGAGUGAAAUAGAACCUGAAACCGUGUACGUACAAGCAGUGGGAGCCCUUCGGGGUGACUGCGUACCUUUUGUAUAAUGGGUCAGCGACUUACAUUUUGUAGCGAGGUUAACCGUAUAGGGGAGCCGUAGGGAAACCGAGUCUUAACUGGGCGUCUAGUUGCAAGGUGUAGACCCGAAACCGGGUGAUCUAGCCAUGGGCAGGUUGAAGGUUGAGUAACAUCAACUGGAGGACCGAACCCACUAACGUUGCAAAGUUAGGGGAUGACCUGUGGCUGGGGGUGAAAGGCCAAUCAAACUCGGAGAUAGCUGGUUCUCCCCGAAAGCUAUUUAGGUAGCGCCUCGGACGAAUACUACUGGGGGUAGAGCACUGUUUGGACUAGGGGGUCAUCCCGACUUACCAACUCCAUGCAAACUCCGAAUACCAGUAAGUAAUAUCCGGGAGACACACGGCGGGUGCUAACGUCCGUCGUGAAGAGGGAAACAACCCAGACCGCCGGCUAAGGUCCCAAAGUUCUGGUUAAGUGGGAAACGAUGUGGGAAGGCUCAGACAGCUAGGAUGUUGGCUUAGAAGCAGCCAUCAUUUAAAGAAAGCGUAAUAGCUCACUAGUCGAGUCGGCCUGCGCGGAAGAUGUAACGGGGCUCAAACCA
Molecule: ribosomal RNA, 1136 nt
Filed under: Escherichia coli
Lineage: Bacteria; Pseudomonadati; Pseudomonadota; Gammaproteobacteria; Enterobacterales; Enterobacteriaceae
Also listed under: 2 other names
Description: bacterial LSU rRNA
Rfam family: Bacterial large subunit ribosomal RNA
Source: RNAcentral